UAGGCCAAUUUGUGGUAAAGAAUCAAAAGCUGAAGCUAAUUUGGAUGAGAUUGAUCUAUUGGUGUCUAAGACAAGUUCUUUGAAAGGUGGUUACUUAAUUAGGACCAUUGCACCAACAGUAGGGAGCCUCCCAUCGAUCUCUACUUAUCUGGCCAAUUUGAUUGACCAAAUCUAAUUUGGGGUGCUUAGCAUUGAGUUCACCA
This 203-nucleotide long non-coding RNA is filed under the name Elaeis guineensis (African oil palm). RNAcentral's name for it is "long non-coding RNA (EGUI_LNC037017)". The record is from RNAcentral. Lineage: Eukaryota; Viridiplantae; Streptophyta; Magnoliopsida; Arecales; Arecaceae.